GAUCAUGGCUCAGGAUGAACGCUGGCGGCGUGCCUAACACAUGCAAGUCGAACGAAGCAAUUAAGAGGAAGUUUUCGGAUGGAAUCUUGAUUGACUGAGUGGCGGACGGGUGAGUAACGCGUGGAUAACCUGCCUCACACUGGGGGAUAACAGUUAGAAAUGACUGCUAAUACCGCAUAAGCGCACGCUACCGCAUGGUAGCGUGUGAAAAACUCCGGUGGUAUGAGAUGGACCCG
This 236-nucleotide ribosomal RNA is filed under the name uncultured bacterium. RNAcentral describes it as "partial 16S ribosomal RNA". It matches the Rfam family "Bacterial small subunit ribosomal RNA", at positions 15 to 233 of the family's 1533-position model. The record is from RNAcentral.